GUUUGAUCAUGGCUCAGAACGAACGCUUGCGGCGUGCUUAACACAUGCAAGUCGAACGAGAAAGGGGCUUCGGCCCUGAGUAAAGUGGCGCACGGGUGAGUAACGCGUAGGUAAUCUACCCCUGUGUUCGGGACAACAUCGGGAAACUGGUGCUAAUACCGGAUACGGUUCACGGAUUGCGAAAUAAGUGAAGGAAAGAUGGGGACCCUUCGGGGCCUAUUGCACGGGGAUGAGCCUGCGUACCAUUAGCUAGUUGGCAGGGUAAGGGCCUACCAAGGCGACGAUGGUUAGCGGGUCUGAGAGGAUGAUCCGCCACACUGGCACUGGAACACGGGCCAGACUCCUACGGGAGGCAGCAGUGGGGAAUAUUGGACAAUGGGCGCAAGCCUGAUCCAGCCAUGCCGCGUGAGUGAUGAAGGCCUUAGGGUCGUAAGGCUCUUUCGCCAGGGACGAUAAUGACGGUACCUGGAUAAGAAGCCCCGGCUAACUUCGUGCCAGCAGCCGCGGUAAUACGAAGGGGGCUAGCGUUGUUCGGAAUCACUGGGCGUAAAGCGCAUGCAGGCGGAUCGAUAAGUCGGGGGUGAAAGCCCGAGGCUCAACCUCGGAACUGCCUUCGAUACUGUCGAUCUUGAGUCCGGGAGAGGUGAGUGGAACUCCGAGUGUAGAGGUGAAAUUCGUAGAUAUUCGGAAGAACACCAGUGGCGAAGGCGGCUCACUGGCCCGGUACUGACGCUGAGAUGCGAAAGCGUGGGGAGCAAACAGGAUUAGAUACCCUGGUAGUCCACGCCGUAAACGAUGAGUACUAGCUGUCGGAGGUUACCCCCUUCGGUGGCGCAGCUAACGCAUUAAGUACUCCGCCUGGGAAGUACGCUCGCAAG
RNAcentral lists this ribosomal RNA (878 nucleotides) under uncultured bacterium. RNAcentral's name for it is "bacterial SSU rRNA". It matches the Rfam family "Bacterial small subunit ribosomal RNA", at positions 11 to 892 of the family's 1533-position model. The record is from RNAcentral.